GGAGGCCUCCAACAACGUCACCAACUGGUCCGGCACCGUCUUCCUCACGCCGCUCCUCGGCGCCUACGUCGCCGACGCCUACCUCGGACGCUACUGGACCUUCGUCAUCGGCUCCGCCAUCUACUUCCUGGUACGUACCUGUCGUCGUUGCUCCUAUCCCUAGCUAGCUUAGCUAGCAGUAAAUACAUAACUCUCACCCCCUCUAGCUGAUCAUCAGCUGUUGCUCCUGUCGUCGUCCUUGCUUGCGUUACCAAAAAAAACUUGCGCUAAUCGGUCGAGCAAAUUGAGCAUACCAUGUGCUGAAAACUGAAAGAAACUAACCGAGGGUGCCGCGCGUGUUCGAUUUGGAGUCCUUGGCCAUGGCCAUGGCUUGGUUUGCCGACGUUUGGUUGGUUUGGUUUGGUUGUCUUGCUUGCUAGUUGCUACCUCGUUUUCCGCGCUUUACAGGAUUCCUCUCGCCAGCAAGAAUGAGCCAAAAAAAGCUCUAUCCCAUCCCAUGCUGGCAAGGCUCAUCUUGCCGAGAGCGAGCGAGCGAGCUGGACCGACACACGUACCAAAAAGCGUCCACAGAGUUUUGACUGAUGAUACAAGAGCAGAAUGGCUCCACCACGGGCACAAUACGCGUGCCUUGCCUGCUCAUACGUGGUCCGACUCAACAAAAUGGAACUGUGAAACUGUUUCUCUUUUUUUUUCAGAAAAUUAAAAAGAUAGAAGAACAAUACAGUAUAGCACAGGCGCUUAAGACAAAUUUCAUAGGAAGAGCUGCGGUCUGCCUAAAUUUCAUAUGAUUGCAAUUGCAAGCAGGCAGUACUGACUCAAGUCCCCGCCAAAAUGGAACUAUGCAAGUAGAAAAUGUUGCAACUUGCAAGAGAAGGUGAGGUGAGGCCAUCGUACUCAUCUAGGCUGCCUGUAUUCUUCAGUAGUUCAAUGCAAUAACCAAAAAUAGAGCAUCCACAGAUGGAUCGACGACGAAUCUAUCAGAUUUCUAACAAUAUUUUUUUCUCAUGACAAAAUAAGAAAUAUUUCAGCUAUGGCUUCGAGCCAAGAGACUCGAUAUCUCCAAUCCCUCCCUCUUGUCCCCUCGUCCAACGGCCGGCCGGCUCCUAGUACUACUAGGAUAGGAACAAUACGCACGACGUCAUAGCGCCGUAUACACGAUGCUAUCCUCUUCCUUCUUCCUGUGACUUGGCUGGAUGCCACAGAUUCAGUUCAACCAGGCACCUCCGUCAUGCUGCAGGUCCCAACCUGAUGAGGCUUGGACCGACGUAUGGUCGUCACUCGUCAGGUCGCAAACCGGACCCUUGUAGGGCCUUGUUUACUUCCAUCCAAAACGUAUUUUUUUUUAAAUUCUCCGUUACAUUUGAAUCUUUAGAUGCCCGUGGCCAAAGCAACUAUCCGUUGAACCUUUUUGAUUCGUUGCAUGAUUGCAAAUCGCGUGCAUGACCAACCUAGCCUAGCGUGCGACUAGAUUCUGACACAUGAUAGCUCUGGCCACAGUGCCACACAUCCAUUUCAUGGUAAGCUCAGUGAUAACGCACCACACUGUAGUAAACUUAUCUCUGAUUCCACAGUGAUUAGCACUGUACACGAAAGGGUUUAAGACAUAGCGAGCAUUGCUGAGUAGUGUAAUGUAAGCAGGACAUUUCUAUGGGUGUUGUGUGUCGUCCUGCUUUUCAGCUACAGUACUGUGAGGUUCAGUGAAGCGGUAGGGGCUUCGCUUUGCUUGGACGCUGCCUGGCCGGGCUAAACCGGUGUCAGUACGACAGUGCAACUGCAACUGCAACCAUCGUGCGGUACUAGGUGCACGUGUGAAGUGUUCAGAUGUUCAUGUCACCACAGUCGAUGCACGAGCGACCGUGGGCGGGCCGGUCGGCCCGUGCGACAAUUUUACGACGAGUCAGUAUUAUUCUUUUCAUAACAAAUAAGUAUUAACAUCAAUUACUUUUAUGCCUAGCCGAACAGGGAGUAGUCGCAGCUAGCAUUGGUAUUGUCAGUCAUUUGGAAUUUUUGAAGUCUGUAUUACAGUAAGAUUUUUGUUUCUCUUUCUUUUUUAAUAUGCAAGAGAGCUACGUAUCUUUGUAUUAUAGGAGAGAGUCUGUAUUUAGACGGACGGAUCAGUACAGUUCAAUCCGCGAGGGCACCAUCACAAAAAAAGACACUGCGUCUUGUAGCCUACUCGAGAGGGAGGUUACAGAUAGCUAUCAACUUAAGUCCAACCUAGAUUCCCUUCGGGUUGAACCAUUGGGUUAGCAAUGAAUUCAUGACAAGGACCGCCUUUCUCUCAAAUCUUGUUACGAGUAGGUCUGUGGCCCAAGCUGAGCUUUUCUUCAAAAUUUAGGUAGUUUGGAACGAUGACACCUUCACUUUCUAGUUUUCUUAUGACGUACCGAUUAAUCAUUUGUAGGCCAAUCUUGUAAUUAUCUUUUCCACUUAGAUGGGCCUUGUUUAGCAACCUCAUGAGUCAUGCCGUCCUCACCGGAAUCUGACAAUUCCACAUAUAUAAUACUUCAACAAGCAAGCAAACUACAAAUCGCGUCAUCAACAAUGUUGUCUCAUGCAUCUUCCACAAUUUUACUUGUAAAUAUAUUUUGACAUGAAAUGUUAAGCUAAAGUUCUGGAACAAUCACCAUCUAAUACAGGGGAUGGUGUUGCUGGUGCUGUCCGUCUCCCUGCCGGCGCUGAAACCGCCGCCGUGCGACGCCGCCAAAGUGUGCCCGAAGGCCUCGGCGCUGCAGGUCGGUGUCUACUUCGGAGGUCUCUACAUCGUAGCCUUCGGCAACGGCGGCACCAAGCCCAACAUCUCCACCAUCGGGGCGGACCAGUUCGACGAGUUCGACCCGCGGGAGAAGAUGCACAAGCUCUCCUUCUUCAACUGGUGGAUGUUCACCAUCUUCCUGGGCAUCCUCUUCUCCUCCAGCG
This 2919-nucleotide long non-coding RNA is filed under the name Sorghum bicolor (sorghum). Its description in RNAcentral is "long non-coding RNA (SBIC_LNC001790)". Lineage: Eukaryota; Viridiplantae; Streptophyta; Magnoliopsida; Poales; Poaceae. The record is from RNAcentral.